Molecule: small RNA, 2407 nt
Filed under: Rattus norvegicus (Norway rat)
Lineage: Eukaryota; Metazoa; Chordata; Mammalia; Rodentia; Muridae
Description: uncharacterized LOC102556133
Source: RNAcentral
AACAAACAAAAAACCAACCUGGCUAUUCCUAGGAAUGAUAAAAUAUCUUCCUUUGUAGAAGGAACAGUUAGAGAAUGGAUCAGAAUCUUUCUAUCUAGGGUAAUAGCUUUUUAGGUUGGGGUAAUUGUUCGUCCCAAAUAGAUGACCAAAGGACUGGACUUUAGAAGGUGAGACCCUGUAACCUUUACUGAAAAUGAAAUUCAGAAGAGCAGAGGUGUCAGUUUGGCAAAUUUUUUGAGAGGGGUUACACAGAAGAAUGCAAUCUAUAUAGUGGACAGUCCUAGAUUUAGGGAGAGAAAGAGAGAAGGUAAUUCAGAAACCAGGGCCUGGCCAAAUUGGUGUGGGCUGUGCUGGAAUCUCUGAGGUAGAACAGUCCAGGUAAGUUGUGUAGAAAAGUGGGUGUCAGGAUCUGUUCAGGAAAAGGCAAAUAUGUUCUGUGACUGGGUAUCUAGAGGGAUAGAGAAAGUAGCAUCCGGAGAUCUAAGAUUGAGAAAUGAGAAUUCCCCAAGGGGAUAGUGGGAAGAAGUGUAUAAGGAUUAGCCACAACAGGAUGUACAGGAACUAUGGCAGAAUUAAUGGACCUGAGGUUUUGAACCAGGAGAUAGGUUCCACUAAGUUUCCUAACUGCUAAUGUAGGGGUUUUAAAGGGGGAAGAGGUAGGGCAAAGGAGGUUUUUCCUUAAGAGAUCAGAGGUGAUAUACUUAAGGCCCCUGAGGCUCUGGAGUGAAAGCAGGUAUUGAGGUUGGGUGAUGUACCUGGUAGAAUUCAGUAAUUGCUUGACAACAGGAGAAUGUUUAGCAGCAGAGGGGUUCUGGACAUCCCUGACAAGGAGGUCUACUUGAGAAGCUGGCCAGAAGUCAACUUGCAUUAGAAAAUGUGCUAUUACCAAGAAGCAUGUCACCAAGACAACCGAAUAGAACUGUCCAGAGUAUGUCCUUCUGCAGAAAUAUCAAUUGAGACAACUAUCCAGGCAUGAAAUACCUUCAUAAGAACUAAACAAAACAGGGAAAGCUCCUUAAACCAGAAGAGAGUUGUGGCAAAAAAAGACACACUCAACCAAGAGUUGCGAUGAAAGCAAUGUGUCACAUGAAUUGCCAAUACUUACACUAGUUAAAAGAAGAAAGAAACAAAAGAAAAUAGAGCAUCAUUAUAUAAAAGAGUCAACUUAUCAAGCAGAACCAUCCCUUUAUUCUUCUUCUUUCCCCUACAAUGAAGUGAUUCUUUACAACAUCCUGUGCUCCUUUUAAAGCCCAUUGGUUCCUUGUGGUGCUGUCAGAAUGUACAUGAGGAACGUCUACUGAAGAAAGGAAAGCCUCUCAGAAGCCAAAUACCUGAAGAAAACUCACUCUGCCUCUCAUAAGAAUCCAUCAGUGGCCAAUAUCACCUCAGUGUUUCCACAGGACGUAUCCCAGAUGAUUGAGUCGGGGGAAAGUCUACAAAAGUUUGGAUGUUGAUUAUUUCCUAAUAUCCCAGAAAUGAGAGGAAAGCCUAAACAUGAUCUAGGAUUAAGGAUACCAGCUUUUGCAGAAGAACUAAAACAACUACCCAUGUCUAAACAAGCAACUACUAGACUCUUGGGCUUCCCAUUCACAACUGCCCAUUGUUGGGUUAGCUGGACUACUGACUAGUCACCAGCCAACAAACAGGCAUUAAAUUCACCAUCCUAAGGAAAUUAUUCAUACUCAAAACAUAACAGCCAAAAGUCAUGCACUUGAAGACUUCUGUCUCUACUCCUCUAUUCUACGGAUAAAGUGAAACCAUAACUUUCAGGAAAAGAAAACAUGAGAAUGUAGAUUACAAAAGUCGGAACUGACAAAAUACAUAAAGACCAUGGGAUGGAAUUUACAUUUUGAGGAUGGCAGAGUAAUGAAUCAGAAAGAGCCUUUGACACCAACGACUCACAGGAAGUCCCAACAUGUCUCCUUAAUAUCUUCAUAGUGGUCAUAUCAUUUGAAUAUGAAGAAGAAAAAGAGCAGGUGGAGCCUGACAAGAUCUUCCUGGCUGUUGACCUGCGCAGCUGGAGAAAUCACUAUUGCAGCACAGCUGGACCUGUGGGUUGUGAGAGCUGUGGCUUCGACUUUUACAGAAAAGAUUCUGCUGAAGAGAAUGAGAAGGAAGAGCAUACAUGGCCAAGAACCUGCAGGGUAUAAAAGACCCCAGCACCCAGAUGGAAAGGUGGAGCCCACCCUCUCCCAAAAUACUUCAUUUCUCCAAAAAACCUUAUGAUGACACUCUUAAGAAAGAAUACAUGAAUUCCAAAGUUCGACUGUGAGUUUCUCUACAGGAUGCUGGAUAACAGAGAGCAUUUAAGCAAGUACUCUGUAUGAGAUAAAAUGUAUGCUAUAGUGGGCUAACUACUGGGUAUUUUCAUUGCUAUAUUAGCUGGAUAAAGGUAUUGUAUUUGAAA